ACGGGUGAGUAACACGUAGGCAACCUGCCCUCAAGCUUGGGACAACUACCGGAAACGGUAGCUAAUACCGAAUACUUGUUUUCUUCGCCUGAAGGAAACUGGAAAGACGGAGCAAUCUGUCACUUGAGGAUGGGCCUGCGGCGCAUUAGCUAGUUGGUGAGGUAACGGCUCACCAAGGCGACGAUGCGUAGCCGACCUGAGAGGGUGAUCGGCCACACUGGGACUGAGACACGGCCCAGACUCCUACGGGAGGCAGCAGUAGGGAAUCUUCCGCAAUGGGCGAAAGCCUGACGGAGCAAUGCCGCGUGAGUGAUGAAGGUUUUCGGAUCGUAAAGCUCUGUUGCCAGGGAAGAACGCUUAGGAGAGUAACUGCUCCUGAGGUGACGGUACCUGAGAAGAAAGCCCCGGCUAACUACGUGCCAGCAGCCGCGGUAAUACGUAGGGGGCAAGCGUUGUCCGGAAUUAUUGGGCGUAAAGCGCGCGCAGGCGGUCAUUUAAGUCUGGUGUUUAAUCCCGGGGCUCAACCCCGGAUCGCACUGGAAACUGGGUGACUUGAGUGCAGAAGAGGAGAGUGGAAUUC
This 580-nucleotide ribosomal RNA is filed under the name uncultured bacterium. RNAcentral's name for it is "bacterial SSU rRNA". It matches the Rfam family "Bacterial small subunit ribosomal RNA", at positions 102 to 669 of the family's 1533-position model. The record is from RNAcentral.